AGUGAACGCUGGCGGUAGGCCUAACACAUGCAAGUCGAACGGCAGCACAGUAAGAGCUUGCUCUUACGGGUGGCGAGUGGCGGACGGGUGAGGAAUACAUCGGAAUCUACUUUUUCGUGGGGGAUAACGUAGGGAAACUUACGCUAAUACCGCAUACGACCUACGGGUGAAAGCAGGGGAUCUUCGGACCUUGCGCGAUUGAAUGAGCCGAUGUCGGAUUAGCUAGUUGGCGGGGUAAAGGCCCACCAAGGCGACGAUCCGUAGCUGGUCUGAGAGGAUGAUCAGCCACACUGGAACUGAGACACGGUCCAGACUCCUACGGGAGGCAGCAGUGGGGAAUAUUGGACAAUGGGCGCAAGCCUGAUCCAUACCGCGUGGGUGAAGAAGGCCUUCGGGUUGUAAAGCCCUUUUGUUGGGAAAGAAAAGCAGCAGGUUAAUACCCCGCUGUUCUGACGGUACCCAAAGAAUAAGCACCGGCUAACUUCGUG
RNAcentral lists this ribosomal RNA (488 nucleotides) under uncultured bacterium. RNAcentral's name for it is "partial 16S ribosomal RNA". It matches the Rfam family "Bacterial small subunit ribosomal RNA", at positions 29 to 507 of the family's 1533-position model. The record is from RNAcentral.